Molecule: long non-coding RNA, 465 nt
Organism: Eurytemora carolleeae
Lineage: Eukaryota; Metazoa; Arthropoda; Copepoda; Calanoida; Temoridae
Exons: 2
Source: RefSeq, a predicted model, not a curated record
GCAAGUUCUGGAAAUAUUCAAAUUUUACAGUGAGCUACAUACAUAGAUAUAUUUAGCAAGUUCUGAAAAUAUUCGAAUAUUGCAGUGAGCUACAGUCUACACACAUAGAUAUAUUUAGCAAGUUCUGAAAAUCUUCAAAUAUUACAGUGAGCAUAGAUAUAUUUAGCAAAAUAUGAAAAGUCGGAUCAAAUUUCAAUAUUGGGUCCAAGAUUGACCUUAGAUUCAAGCUCACUAACUCACAUGUGAAUUCUAGAACUAGAUUUAUACCAUUUGUUUAAAACUUUACUUUUUAGGAAUGAAUUGGCAUGAAAAACACGCAUUCAGUGAUUUAAAAUUGUAAACAAGAUUUUUUAUCUCAGGAGCACGGGGUCAACAUUAGCAAAGAGGAGGUCAACAUUUACUUCGCUAAUAAGGACAGAGAUAGAGAUGGGAGGAUAAGUUUUACUGAAUUCUGCGACAAAAAGA